AUGUUAAUCAUAGAUGAGUUUGAGGCAGCGUGGGGUAUUUUCUUAGAUAAAUACAACUCGAGGAAACAUACCAGCAUGACACAGUUGUAUGAGAUCAGAUUAAAGUGGGAUAAGCGGUGCUUCAAGGGAGUUUUCUGCGCCAAAAUGACAAGCAUUCAACGCAGCGAAAGUGCCAAUCACAUGCUAAAGACCUACAUUCCACCAGCGAGUCCAAUGCACGUGUUUGUGAGGCAAUACAUGAGGCUGCAGUUCGAUCGAGAGCGAGAGGAAAGCUAUGAGGAGAAGAGGACAAUGAUUGGUGGAGCAGUGAGGAGAACUAAUUUGGCAAUAGAACGGCAUGCAAGUAGGAUAUACACGAGAGCAAUGUUUGAAGAGUUCGGGCGACUACUGAUUGAAGCCACUGCCUACAAUAUCACCGAAAUAGAGAAGAUGAGAAAAUAUGUAACGGUCCACAACAAUGCAGCAAAAAGAAAAAAAAUGGAGCAGGGUUGA
Molecule: ribosomal RNA, 492 nt
Filed under: Triticum aestivum (bread wheat)
Lineage: Eukaryota; Viridiplantae; Streptophyta; Magnoliopsida; Poales; Poaceae
Description: partial small subunit ribosomal RNA
Source: RNAcentral